AAAUUGAAGAGUUUGAUCAUGGCUCAGAUUGAACGCUGGCGGCAGGCCUAACACAUGCAAGUCGAACGGUAACAGGAAGCAGCUUGCUGCUU
This 92-nucleotide ribosomal RNA is filed under the name Citrobacter koseri. Its description in RNAcentral is "partial 16S ribosomal RNA". It matches the Rfam family "Bacterial small subunit ribosomal RNA", at positions 1 to 88 of the family's 1533-position model. The record is from RNAcentral. RNAcentral also lists the same sequence under 422 other names. Lineage: Bacteria; Pseudomonadati; Pseudomonadota; Gammaproteobacteria; Enterobacterales; Enterobacteriaceae.